This 253-nucleotide ribosomal RNA is filed under the name uncultured bacterium. RNAcentral describes it as "partial 16S ribosomal RNA". It matches the Rfam family "Bacterial small subunit ribosomal RNA", at positions 524 to 776 of the family's 1533-position model. The record is from RNAcentral.
CACGUAGGGCGCAAGCGUUGUCCGGAAUUAUUGGGCGUAAAGAGCUCGUAGGCGGUCUGUUACGUCUGCUGUGAAAACCCGGGGCUUAACCCCGGGCCUGCAGUGGGUACGGGCAGACUAGAGUGCGGUAGGGGAGACUGGAAUUCCUGGUGUAGCGGUGAAAUGCGCAGAUAUCAGGAGGAACACCGGUGGCGAAGGCGGGUCUCUGGGCCGUAACUGACGCUGAGGAGCGAAAGCGUGGGGAGCAAACAGG